UGGGGAAUUUUGGACAAUGGGGGAAACCCUGAUCCAGCCAUCCUGCGUGUGCGAUGAAGGCCUCCGGGUUGUAAAGCACUUUUGGCAGGAAAGAAACGUCAUGGGUUAAUACCCCGUGAAACUGACGGUACCUGCAGAAUAAGCACCGGCUAACUACGUGCCAGCAGCCGCGGUAAUACGUAGGGUGCAAGCGUUAAUCGGAAUUACUGGGCGUAAAGCGUGCGCAGGCGGUUCGGAAAGAAAGAUGUGAAAUCCCAGAGCUCAACUUUGGAACUGCAUUUUUAACUACCGAGCUAGAGUGUGUCAGAGGGAGGUGGAAUUCCGCGUGUAGCAGUGAAAUGCGUAAAAAUGCGGAGGAACACCGAUGGCGAAGGCAGCCUCCUGGGAUAACACUGACGAUCAUGCACGAAAGCGUGGGGAGCAAACAGG
This 429-nucleotide ribosomal RNA is filed under the name Acidobacteriota bacterium. RNAcentral's name for it is "Acidobacteria bacterium partial 16S ribosomal RNA". It matches the Rfam family "Bacterial small subunit ribosomal RNA", at positions 355 to 776 of the family's 1533-position model. The record is from RNAcentral. Lineage: Bacteria; Pseudomonadati; Acidobacteriota.